RNAcentral lists this ribosomal RNA (1487 nucleotides) under uncultured Bordetella sp. RNAcentral's name for it is "partial 16S-23S ribosomal RNA intergenic spacer". It matches the Rfam family "Bacterial small subunit ribosomal RNA". Lineage: Bacteria; Pseudomonadati; Pseudomonadota; Betaproteobacteria; Burkholderiales; Alcaligenaceae. The record is from RNAcentral.
AGUUCGAUUAUGGUCAGAUUGAACGUUGGCGGGAUGCUUUACAUGCAAGUCGAAACGGCAGCACGGACUUCGGUCUGGUGGCGAGUGGCGAACGGGUGAGUAAUGUAUCGGAACGUGCCUAGUAGCGGGGGAUAACUAUGAAAGCGUAGCUAAUACCGUAUACGCCCUUCGGGGAAAGGGGACCUUCGGGCCUCGCACUAUUAGAGCGGCCGAUAUCGGAUUAGCUAGUUGGUGGGUAACGGCUCACCAGCGGCGACGAUCCGUAGCUGGUUUGAGAGACGACCAGCUACACUGGGACUGGAGAUUAAUGGCCCAGACUCCUACGGGAGGCAGCAGUGGGGAAUUUUGGACAAUGGGGAAACCCCAUCCAGCCAUCCUGGCGGCAGGGUAGCGAUGAAGGCCUUUCGCCAGGUAAAGAUUCGCUGCGCACAGGAAGAAAUGAGAGGGAUAAUACCUGCAGCAAAUCGACGGUACCUGCAGAAUAAGCACCGGCUAACUACGCCAGCAGCCGCGGUAAUACGUAGGGCAGCAGACCGAAUUAUUGGGCGUGGCAGGCAGGCGGCGCCUGGAAAGAAAGAUGUGAAAUCCCAUUUAACUUUGAACUUAUUUUUAACUACCGAGCUAGGCGGGUCAGAGUGGAGGUGGAAUUCAUGUGUAGCAGUGAAAUGCGUGCAGAUAUGCGGAGGAACACCGAUGGCGAAGGCAGCCUUCCUUGAUAACACUGACGCUCAUGCACGAAAGCGUGGGGAGCAAACAGUGAUUAGAUACUCCCGGGUAGUCCACGUCGUAAAGUAAUUAGGUGAUGUUUAACUAGCCGUUGGGGCCUUUCGCCUUGCAGGUAGCGCAGCUAACGCGAAGUUGACCGCCUGGGGAGUACGGUCGCAAGAUUAAAACUCAAAGGAAUUGAUUUGGAAGACCCGCACAAGCGGUGGAUGAUGUGGAUUAAUUCGAUGCAACGCAAGAAAAAACCUUACUCUACCCUUGACAUGUCUGAAUCCUGAAGAGAUUUGGGGAGUGCUCGCAAGAGAACCGGAACACAGGUGCUGCAUGGCUGUCGUCAGCUCGUGUCGAGAUGUUGGGUUAAGUCUCACAACGAAAGCGCAACCCUUGGUCAUUAGUUGCUACGAAAGGGCACUCUAUCGAGACUGCCGGUGACAAACCGGAGGAAGGUGGGGGAUGACGUCAAGUCCUCAUGGCCUGAGGUAGGGUCACACGUCAUGAAGGCACGGCCGGGACAGGUCGUCAACUGGCGAGGGAGCUAAUCCCAGAAACCUGACCGAAGGUCCGAUCGCAGCUCGCAACUCGACUGCGUGAAGUCGGAAUCGCUAGUAAUCGCGGAUCAGCAUGUCGCGGUGAAUACGUUCCGGGUCUUGGUACAUACCGCCCGUCACACCAUGGGAGUGGGUUUUACCAGAAGUAGUUAGCCUAACUGUGGAGGGCGAUUACCACGGUAGGAUUCAUGACUGGGGUGGAAGUCGUAACAAGGU